AUGCGUACAGGUUUUGCACCACGUUCUUGGAGGAGACGGUGUGGCGGAACCGGAGCUCGCUUGCAACGCAACCCGAGACUCGCUUCUCCCUUCAUGGUGUACAGAUCUUUGUCCAAACCGGAGUUUGCAACGACGCGGUACAAGACUUCAUCAUCGCUUCAUCUGGCGAGGACGCCGGCUACAUCAGCGCCACCGGACAUCCACAUGAUGUCGCUAGCUUCUUCCACUUAUCGCUUGACGAGGACGCCGAUUGCACCAGCACGCCGCCAAUUCACGACACCAACCUGUUGGAAAUAUGCCCUAGAGGCAAUAAUAAAAUGGUUAUUAUUGUAUUUCCUUGUUCAUGAUAAUUAUCUAUUGUUCAUGCUAUAA
RNAcentral lists this ribosomal RNA (372 nucleotides) under Triticum aestivum (bread wheat). RNAcentral describes it as "partial small subunit ribosomal RNA". Lineage: Eukaryota; Viridiplantae; Streptophyta; Magnoliopsida; Poales; Poaceae. The record is from RNAcentral.